CCUACGGGAGGCAGCAGUGAGGAAUAUUGGUCAAUGGCCGAGAUGCUGAACCAGCCAAGCCGCGUGAGGGAAGACUGUCCUAUGGGUUGUAAACCUCUUUUGUCGGGGAGCAAAACCCGGGACGAGUCCCGGACUGCGAGUAUCCGAAGAAAAAGCAUCGGCUAACUCCGUGCCAGCAGCCGCGGUAAUACGGAGGAUGCGAGCGUUAUCCGGAUUUAUUGGGUUUAAAGGGUGCGUAGGCGGUCUAUUAAGUCAGCGGUAAAAUUGCGGGGCUCAACCCCGUCGAGCCGUUGAAACUGGCAGACUUGAGUGGGCGAGAAGUACGCGGAAUGCGCGGUGUAGCGGUGAAAUGCAUAGAUAUCGCGCAGAACUCCGAUUGCGAAGGCAGCGUACCGGCGCCAGACUGACGCUGAGGCACGAAAGCGUGGGGAUCGAACAGGAUUAGAUACCCGUGUAGUC
Molecule: ribosomal RNA, 459 nt
Filed under: uncultured bacterium
Lineage: Bacteria
Description: partial 16S ribosomal RNA
Rfam family: Bacterial small subunit ribosomal RNA
Source: RNAcentral